Molecule: ribosomal RNA, 454 nt
Filed under: uncultured bacterium
Lineage: Bacteria
Description: partial 16S ribosomal RNA
Rfam family: Bacterial small subunit ribosomal RNA
Source: RNAcentral
GAUGAACGCUGACAGAAUGCUUAACACAUGCAAGUCAACUUGAACUUCGGUUUGGGUGGCGGACGGGUGAGUAACGCGUAAAGAACUUGCCUCACAGAUAGGGACAACAUUUGGAAACGAAUGCUAAUACCUGAUAUUAUGAUUAUAUGGCAUCGUAUAAUUAUGAAAGCUAUAUGCGCUGUGAGAGAGCUUUGCGUCCCAUUAGCUAGUUGGAGAGGUAACGGCUCACCAAGGCGAUGAUGGGUAGCCGGCCUGAGAGGGUGAUCGGCCACAAGGGGACUGAGACACGGCCCUUACUCCUACGGGAGGCAACAGUGGGGAAUAUUGGACAAUGGACCAAGAGUCUGAUCCAGCAAUUCUGUGUGCACGAUGAAGUUUUUCGGAAUGUAAAGUGCUUUCAGUUGGGAAGAAAAAAAUGACGAUACCAACAGAAGAAGUGACGGCUAAAUACGUG